AAAAAUCUUUAAACAAACAAGUAAACGUUGAUGGGACUGAUUUUGAGAAAGAUAUCAAAUUGGAAUCAAAAGUUGAAGCCCAUGUUGACAAGGGGAUUACUUAUGCUAACGAGUCAGUAAGAUUGCCAUGGGAAGGUGACAAGUUGAGAAAAAGUAAUGCAGAAUUGGCAGAGAAAUUGAUACCUGAGGCUCAACUGAAGAGGCUUAGGA
RNAcentral lists this unclassified non-coding RNA (210 nucleotides) under Hevea brasiliensis (rubber tree). Lineage: Eukaryota; Viridiplantae; Streptophyta; Magnoliopsida; Malpighiales; Euphorbiaceae. The record is from RNAcentral.